RNAcentral lists this long non-coding RNA (800 nucleotides) under Homo sapiens (human). RNAcentral's name for it is "HSALNT0086905". The record is from RNAcentral. Lineage: Eukaryota; Metazoa; Chordata; Mammalia; Primates; Hominidae.
CAAAGUGUUAUCACAGUAUAGGUAAGCCUAUGAGCUUUGGAGAAAUUUAUCUUGUUAGAUUUACUCUACUGUGUUCAGCAAAAAGGGUUGUGGAAGGGUUGCAGUUAGUAGAAGAUGGGAAAGAUGGGAAAAAGGUAUACCAUUAAAUCUGCGGUGGUGAACUCUUGGCUGUAUUUGAGGAGAAGUGAUUUUUACCACUCAGAAUCAUCUUUAGAAUAUGAUAUGCUAGGACUAUUAUCUUCAGGUCCAUAUUUUACAGAAUGCUGUCCUGAUGUGGGCCCAGAGAACUUACUCUGAGAAGGAAGCAAAAUUUGCUAGCAAAAUACUCAAUGCUCUUAGAAGAAAUGAUAAUGACAAAACCUUUGUGCAAGAGGCAAGGUAGUUGUGACUAUAUAUAUCUGCAUGACAAGAAUGAUGUCUACACUUAUUUAUUUUCAAUUAAUAAAUCAUUUUAGCUGCUUACCAACAAAGCAUGCCAGUUUCCAGUUUUUCCAUAGUUAUAGACUUUGCUUUAGUUAUUUUAUGUUAGCUAAUGAUUCUACUAUCAGAUUUGGUAUAUUUUGGAUGGUGAGAUCAAUUCUGUGCAGACUGUAAGAGAUUUUGUGAAAAUAUUGGGAUCAUACCAUGUAGACAACUUUAUAUACUGCUAUACAACAUCUUUUAUGAAAAUUUCUUCUGAUCGCCAAAAAUUCUCUGAAAACAAUUUGCACUGGCUGCCUACUCUUCCAUUGAUUGGAUACACCAUAAUAAAAACAUUCAUUCUUUUUCACAUGGUAAGUCAUUUAUUUAUAAUAGUUAAA